This 762-nucleotide ribosomal RNA is filed under the name uncultured Streptococcus sp. Its description in RNAcentral is "bacterial SSU rRNA". It matches the Rfam family "Bacterial small subunit ribosomal RNA", at positions 28 to 776 of the family's 1533-position model. Lineage: Bacteria; Bacillati; Bacillota; Bacilli; Lactobacillales; Streptococcaceae. The record is from RNAcentral.
GACGAACGCUGGCGGCGUGCCUAAUACAUGCAAGUAGAACGCUGAAGGAGGAGCUUGCUUCUCUGGAUGAGUUGCGAACGGGUGAGUAACGCGUAGGUAACCUGCCUGGUAGCGGGGGAUAACUAUUGGAAACGAUAGCUAAUACCGCAUAAGAGUAGAUGUUGCAUGACAUUUGCUUAAAAGGUGCAAUUGCAUCACUACCAGAUGGACCUGCGUUGUAUUAGCUAGUUGGUGGGGUAACGGCUCACCAAGGCGACGAUACAUAGCCGACCUGAGAGGGUGAUCGGCCACACUGGGACUGAGACACGGCCCAGACUCCUACGGGAGGCAGCAGUAGGGAAUCUUCGGCAAUGGACGGAAGUCUGACCGAGCAACGCCGCGUGAGUGAAGAAGGUUUUCGGAUCGUAAAGCUCUGUUGUAAGAGAAGAACGAGUGUGAGAGUGGAAAGUUCACACUGUGACGGUAUCUUACCAGAAAGGGACGGCUAACUACGUGCCAGCAGCCGCGGUAAUACGUAGGUGGCAAGCGUUAUCCGGAUUUAUUGGGCGUAAAGAGAGUGCAGGCGGUUUUCUAAGUCUGAUGUGAAAGCCUUCGGCUUAACCGGAGAAGUGCAUCGGAGACUGGAUAACUUGAGUGCAGAAGAGGGUAGUGGAACUCCAUGUGUAGCGGUGGAAUGCGUAGAUAUAUGGAAGAACACCAGUGGCGAAGGCGGCUACCUGGUCUGCAACUGACGCUGGACUCGAAGCAUGGGUAGCGAACAGG